Molecule: ribosomal RNA, 342 nt
Filed under: Heliobacterium chlorum
Lineage: Bacteria; Bacillati; Bacillota; Clostridia; Eubacteriales; Heliobacteriaceae
Description: bacterial SSU rRNA
Rfam family: Bacterial small subunit ribosomal RNA
Source: RNAcentral
UUUGUGGAGAGUUUGAUCCUGGCUCAGGACGAACGCUGGCGGCAUGCCUAACACAUGCAAGUCGAACGGAGCACGGAUACUUCGGUGGAAGUGCUUAGUGGCGGACGGGUGAGUAACGCGUGGAUAACCUGCCUGAGAGUGGGGGAUAACAGCCCGAAAGGGCUGCUAAUACCGCAUAACGUUGUUUGGGGACAUCCCCGGACAACCAAAGGAGCAAUCCGCUCUUGGAUGGGUCCGCGUCCGAUUAGCUAGUUGGUGAGGUAAUAGCUCACCAAGGCGACGAUCGGUAGCCGGCCUGAGAGGGUGAACGGCCACACUGGGACUGAGACACGGCCCAGACUC